RNAcentral lists this small nucleolar RNA (106 nucleotides) under Cavia porcellus (domestic guinea pig). Lineage: Eukaryota; Metazoa; Chordata; Mammalia; Rodentia; Caviidae. The record is from RNAcentral.
GUGGCCCUGAAUCAAGGUUGGCAGUUUUGUGAAGCUGUUGGUUUCAAACAGGAGCCUAAAGUGGAUUAGAAAUUUAGUGAUCAAUUCAUUAGAAAAAAAAACAACU